RNAcentral lists this ribosomal RNA (470 nucleotides) under uncultured bacterium. RNAcentral's name for it is "partial 16S ribosomal RNA". It matches the Rfam family "Bacterial small subunit ribosomal RNA", at positions 28 to 523 of the family's 1533-position model. The record is from RNAcentral.
GACGAACGCUGGCGGCGUGCCUAACACAUGCAAGUCGAGCGAGGGACUUCGGUCCCUAGCGGCGGACGGGUGAGUAACACGUGGGUAACCUGCCUCAUAGUGGGGGAUAGCCUUCCGACAGGAAGAUUAAUACCGCAUAUACUCUCGGUAUCGCAUGAUACUUAGAGGAAAGGAGCAAUCCGCUAUGAGAUGGACCCGCGGCGCAUUCGCUAGUUGGUGAGGUAACGGCUCACCAAGGCCACGAUGCGUAGCCGACCUGAGAGGGUGAUCGGCCACAUUGGAGCUGAGACACGGUCCGGACUCCUACGGGAGGCAGCAGUGGGGGAUAUUGCACAAUGGGCGAAAGCCUGAUGCAGCAACGCCGCGUGAGUGAUGAAGGCCUUCGGGUUGUAAAGCGCUGUCUUUUGGGACGAUAAUGACGGUACCAAAGGAGGAAGCCACGGCUAACUACGUGCCAGCAGCCGCAGUAA